UGGACCUGGGCCGUUUGAAUUUAUGUACGAAGUCCGAUACCCUUUUACUUAGCUAUCUAUGCAGGCUUUUGUUUGCUUUGAUGGUAUAUCGGACAGACGAGUUCAACAAACACGGGGGACGUUCGAGAACAAUUUUUGGGUUACUGUUUUAAUUAGACUAGUUUGACUAACUAUUGCUGUAUCUGUUCCCUCAUCUGUAGUCUGUCAUGAACUCUGUCAAGGUCUCACGUAAAGACUGGAGCUGAUUGAGUCAUGUUCAUCUUCAACUCGAAACUAUGCCUACAAGGAUCAGGACUUUGACACCUGAUAGUCUCGACAUUCCUCUGCGAUAUGAUCACGUUAAAGAGUGAAGAGUAUCUCGACAAACCAACACAAGUCCAUCCACAAAAAAUGAAGGAAGAGACUUUCACACAAGAAGUACUUAGAUUGUGAGAUCUCACAAUCUAACUCCUUGGAGGC
This is a non-coding RNA of Cucurbita pepo subsp. pepo (vegetable marrow), 459 nucleotides long. The record is from RefSeq and is a predicted model, not a curated record. Lineage: Eukaryota; Viridiplantae; Streptophyta; Magnoliopsida; Cucurbitales; Cucurbitaceae.